This 866-nucleotide ribosomal RNA is filed under the name uncultured archaeon. RNAcentral's name for it is "bacterial SSU rRNA". It matches the Rfam family "Archaeal small subunit ribosomal RNA", at positions 1 to 878 of the family's 1478-position model. The record is from RNAcentral.
UCCGGUUGAUCUGCCGGACCCGACUGCUAUCAGAGUGGACUAAGCCAUGCGAGUCAACAUAGCAAUAUGUGGCAUACGGCUCAGUAACACGUAGUCAACAUGCCCAGGGGACGUGGAUAACCUCGGGAAACUGAGGAUAAACCGCGAUAAAGUCACUACUUCUGGAAUGGGUAAUGACUCAAAUCUACAUGGCCCCUGGAUUGGACUGCGGCCGAUCAGGCUGUUGGUGAGGUAAUGGCCCACCAAACCUGUAACCGGUACGGGCUCUGAGAGGAGGAGCCCGGAGAUGGGCACUGAGACAAGGGCCCAGGCCCUAUGGGGCGCAGCAGGCGCGAAACCUCUGCAAUAGGCGAAAGCCUGACAGGGUUACUCUGAGUGAUUUCCGUUAAGGAGAUCUUCUGGCACCUCUAAAAAUGGUGCAGAAUAAGGGGUGGGCAAGUCUGGUGUCAGCCGCCGCGGUAAUACCAGCACCCCGAGUGGUCGGGACGUUUAUUGGGCCUAAAGCAUCCGUAGCCGGUUCUACAAGUCUUCCGUUAAAUCCACCUGCUUAACAGAUGGGCUGCGGAAGAUACUAUAGAGCUAGGAGGCGGGAGAGGCAAGCGGUACUCGAUGGGUAGGGGUAAAAUCCGUUGAUCCAUUGAGGACCACCAGUGGCGAAGGCGGUCUGCCAGAACACGUUCGACGGUGAGGGAUGAAAGCUGGGGGAGCAAACCGGAUUAGAUACCCGGGUAGUCCCAGCUGUAAACGAUGCAAACUCGGUGAUGCAUUGGCUUAUGGCCAAUGCAGUGCCGCAGGGAAGCCGUUAAGUUUGCCGCCUGGGAAGUACGGACGCAAGUCUGAAACUUAAAGGAAUUGGCGGGGGAGCA